GACGGUACUUGAUGAAUAAGCCACGGCUAAUUCCGUGCCAGCAGCCGCGGUAAUACGGGAGUGGCAAGCGUUAUCCGGAAUUAUUGGGCGUAAAGCGUCCGCAGGCGGUUUUACAAGUCUGUUGUUAAAACGUGGAGCUCAACUCCAUUUCGGCGAUGGAAACUGUAAGACUAGAGUGUGGUAGGGGCAGAGGGAAUUCCCGGUGUAGCGGUGAAAUGCGUAGAUAUCGGGAAGAACACCAGUGGCGAAGGCGCUCUGCUGGGCCAUAACUGACGCUCAUGGACAAAAGCCAGGGGAGCGAAAGGGAUUAGAUACCCCUGUAGUCCUGGCCGUAAACGAUGAACACUAGGUGUCGGGGGAAUCGACCCCCUCGGUGUCGUAGCCAACGCGUUAAGUGUUCCGCCUGGGGAGUACGCACGCAAGUGUGAAACUCAAAGGAAUUGACGGGGGCCCGCACAAGCGGUGGAGUAUGUGGUUUAAUUCGAUGCAACGCGAAGAACCUUACCAGGGUUUGACAUCCUGCGAAUUCCUUGGAAACUUGGAAGUGCCUUCGGGAGCGCAGUGACAGGUGGUGCAUGGCUGUCGUCAGCUCGUGUCGUGAGAUGUUGGGUUAAGUCCCGCAACGAGCGCAACCCACGUCUUUAGUUGCCAGCAUUAAGUUGGGCACUCUAGAGAGACCGCCGGUGAUAAACCGGAGGAAGGUGUGGAUGACGUCAAGUCAUCAUGCCCCUUACAUCCUGGGCUACACACGUACUACAAUGCUACGGACAAAGGGCAGCAAACUCGCGAGAGCUAGCAAAUCCCAUAAACCGUGGCUCAGUUCAGAUCGUAGGCUGCAACUCGCCUACGUGAAGGAGGAAUCGCUAGUAAUCGCAGGUCAGCAUACUGCGGUGAAUACGUUCCCGGGCCUUGUACACACCGCCCGUCACACCAUGGAAGUUGGCCACGCCCGAAGUCGUUACUCCAACCCUUGUGGAGGAGGAUGC
Molecule: ribosomal RNA, 986 nt
Filed under: uncultured cyanobacterium
Lineage: Bacteria; Bacillati; Cyanobacteriota
Description: bacterial SSU rRNA
Rfam family: Bacterial small subunit ribosomal RNA
Source: RNAcentral